This 85-nucleotide transfer RNA is filed under the name Acidimicrobiales bacterium. RNAcentral describes it as "tRNA-Tyr". It matches the Rfam family "tRNA". From Rfam's summary of the family: Transfer RNA (tRNA) molecules are approximately 80 nucleotides in length. Their secondary structure includes four short double-helical elements and three loops (D, anti-codon, and T loops). The record is from RNAcentral. Lineage: Bacteria; Bacillati; Actinomycetota; Acidimicrobiia; Acidimicrobiales.
GGGUCGGUGCCCGAGCGGCCAAAGGGAGCAGACUGUAAAUCUGCCGGCACUGCCUUCGAAGGUUCGAAUCCUUCCCGGCCCACCA